GGAAGUUCUGGGGAGGUCGGAGGCCUCAGCCUCUUGUUGGGGGGCUCGGUGGCUAUGGUUCGUCCCGUUGGCUUAUC
RNAcentral lists this transfer RNA (77 nucleotides) under Fonsecaea nubica. RNAcentral describes it as "tRNA-Asn". The record is from RNAcentral. Lineage: Eukaryota; Fungi; Ascomycota; Eurotiomycetes; Chaetothyriales; Herpotrichiellaceae.